RNAcentral lists this ribosomal RNA (467 nucleotides) under uncultured bacterium. Its description in RNAcentral is "partial 16S ribosomal RNA". It matches the Rfam family "Bacterial small subunit ribosomal RNA", at positions 28 to 506 of the family's 1533-position model. The record is from RNAcentral.
GACGAACGCUGGCGGCGUGCUUAACACAUGCAAGUCGAACGGAAAGGCCCUGCUUUUGUGGGGUGCUCGAGUGGCGAACGGGUGAGUAACACGUGAGUAACCUGCCCUUGACUUUGGGAUAACUUCAGGAAACUGGGGCUAAUACCGGAUAGGAGCUCCUGCUGCAUGGUGGGGGUUGGAAAGUUUCGGCGGUUGGGGAUGGACUCGCGGCUUAUCAGCUUGUUGGUGGGGUAGUGGCUUACCAAGGCUUUGACGGGUAGCCGGCCUGAGAGGGUGACCGGCCACAUGGGGACUGAGAUACGGCCCAGACUCCUACGGGAGGCAGCAGUGGGGAAUAUUGCAAAAUGGGCGGAAGCCUGAUGCAGCAACGCCGCGUGCGGGAUGACGGCCUUCGGGUGGUAAACCGCUUUCGCCUGUGACGAAGCGUGAGUGACGGUAAUGGGGAAAGAAGCACCGGCGAACUACGG